AGCAGCCGCGGUAAUUCCAGCUCCAAUAGCGUAUAUUAAAGUUGUUGCAGUUAAAAGCUCGUAGUUGAAUUUCGGGAUCAAAGGAUCGGUCAUGCCUUGGUAUGUACUGGUUUUAUUGGUUCUCACCUUCUAAAGAACCAUAAUGUCAUUCAUUUGAUGUUAUGGGGAAUUAGGACUGUUACCUUGAAAAAUUAGAGCGUUUAAAGCAGGCUUACGCUUGAAUACAUUAGCAUGGAAUAAUGAAAUAGGACAUCAGAUUCUAUUUUGUUGGUUUCUAGGAUCGAUGUAAUGAUUAAUAGGGAUAGUUGGGGGCAUUAGUAUUCAAUUGUCAGAGGUGAAAUUCUUGGAUUUAUUGAAGACUAACUACUGCGAAGGCAUUUGCCAAGGAUGUUUUCAUUAAUCAAGAACGAAAGUUAGGGAUCGAAGACGAUCAGAUACCGUCGUAGUCUUAACCAUAAACUAUGCCGACUAGGGAUCGGAUGAUGUUAAUUUUAUAAUGAUCAUUC
RNAcentral lists this unclassified non-coding RNA (506 nucleotides) under uncultured Glomus. RNAcentral describes it as "SSU rRNA". It matches the Rfam family "Eukaryotic small subunit ribosomal RNA", at positions 569 to 1081 of the family's 1831-position model. The record is from RNAcentral. Lineage: Eukaryota; Fungi; Glomeromycota; Glomeromycetes; Glomerales; Glomeraceae.